Long non-coding RNA from Xiphophorus maculatus (southern platyfish), 1686 nucleotides. RefSeq lists it as uncharacterized. The transcript has 3 exons. NCBI's taxonomy places the organism in Eukaryota, Metazoa, Chordata, Actinopteri, Cyprinodontiformes, Poeciliidae. The record is from RefSeq and is a predicted model, not a curated record.
ACACUCCUACUGUGUUAUAUGGAACAAAAUACCUAUUGGUAUUUUUAUUCCCAGUCACGCUCACAAUCACACAGCUUAAAAUGAUGUUAACAGCCUUUCAACGGCCUUCUGGCACAAGGCUCCGUACACCUCUUCCAUGGAAUUUCGAGCAGGGACUCUGUCGUCCCUCACGGAUUUUUUUUGCACUUAUAUGGUACCUGUUAAUGUCUAGAAUUUACAAGCAAUUUUUGCUGUUACACGCAAUAAUCCUCAGUCACUCGCCGUUUUUCUUCCGGCACGAGGCUCUGUACACCUCUUUCACGGUGUAAUAUUGUCAGCAGUCUGGCUGGUUAUCUGUCCCACUCACACAAUCAUUUGUCGCACAAUUUGUGGAACAUGCAGCAAUUAUAAUCUGUGCUGCCUUUUGGUUUUAGACCCAUAGCCUCCAGAUGGCGCUGCUGCGCUGUAACAUGAUGAUCCAUUAGGUUGUCCUGCUGCUCUAAACUGGCAUUGCUGAGGAUAUUUGACAUCUAUGUUAUUAUUAUUUUUUUAAUGUUCCAAAUAUUUGACCAGUCAUGAUUUUUGCCGUAUCUAUCUAUCCUCGGCAUAUUGUGCAUAUUUUGGACUUUUAACAAGUUGCUGAGCUCAGGGCUCCUGCAGCUGUACGCUGUUAGGUAUCGGGGUUUUUGUUCCUUUUGUGGGGUUUUCUUUUCCUUUUUGUUCGUCUGUGGUUCCGUUAUUUAUCCACCAGAUAGCUCCAGAAGCUGCCUCCCUGGCAGGGCGUACCUGUGGUUCAGCGCACCUGUUGGUCAUCAUCUAAUCACCCUGGGGUUUAAGAGGAGCGCACUGACUGCACUUCUUCGCCUGAGUGUUUGCCAGUAAUGGUGUUCCUAGCGACGCUGUGUGAUCUCCUCGUAAAGAUCUCGUUCUGGCCCUCUGGAUAACCCAUCCUCAUGACGCCGUGGUGAAUACCCACUGGUUGCCCGAGUCCCACUUCCAUCUCCUCAGUUGGAUCUCAAGCCGACCCCGGACCUGCCAGUUAGCAGUAGGACCGCUCCUCUGCCUCCCUCUACGCCUGUACCUACCUGUCCAUCCUCCACCGCAGCCUCCACGUAGCUAUCCGGAACCACCUCCAUCGAGCCGUACUCUGGAAUCCAGAUCACUGUCCAGGACCUGCAAAUUAGGAGACUAACCCCGAGCCCACAGCCUACUCUCUCCCUGCAGUCAUUAUUCAACAUCACAAUGCGCCAGCGACUCUGUGAUCCUGCCCCCUGGAUAGACCCUCAUCCAUCUUAUUUUUCAAUAAACAUUAUACUACUGAUUCCUUUACUCCUGUGGUGUUCUGCAUGUGGGUUAAAAAACUAGAUCCAAACAUGACAUACGCACUGUGUACCUUAGAUUUUCCUUUAAGUAAAACAGAAAAGAAGAUUUUUUUACACUUUCUUUAAUUAUCUAACUCUCUUUACUAUUAACAUUUAGGAGAAAAACAAUCUAUUGUGUCAAAACAUCUUGUACGUAGCCAGUCUAUGUGAGUCCAUGGAGCUGCUCACAAAGCCUAAAUGUUAUUGGUCAGUUUACUUUUGUAAAUUUGGCAGCUUGGCGCUUUUUCUGUAAGCUAAAAAUGAACAAGAGGAGUUUGAAUCCUCCCGUCGUUGUAAGAUUGGUUGUUUAGAUCCUGCCAGAGCUUUUUACCGUGUGUGCAGUUCU